RNAcentral lists this long non-coding RNA (470 nucleotides) under Sorghum bicolor (sorghum). RNAcentral describes it as "long non-coding RNA (SBIC_LNC008874)". Lineage: Eukaryota; Viridiplantae; Streptophyta; Magnoliopsida; Poales; Poaceae. The record is from RNAcentral.
GAUUAAUUGGGUUUAAAUUGUAAAAAAAUAUAAUAAUAAUAUAAAUAAAAUAUUUCAAUUAAUUCUGCUUAGUUUUGAAUUACAAAAAAAUAAAAAUAUGAUUUCUAAAAAGGAUCUUUAGUUUUUAGCUUUUACCUUUCAAUAAAACUCUUGUUUCUCUAAAAAAAAUAUCUAGGAAGCGUAGCAAAACGCAGGCAGAUUCAAAAUUUGAAAAGUGGGACGAGCGCACACGCCAAAAUUCAGGGCCAACGGACGUGCCCAGGGGUCGGCCGCCCCUGGCCUGACACGUCUGCGGCCCGAUCUUUUCCAGCGUCUAUCUCUUCAUCAUCCCUAUCCUUAUCUGCAUGCAAAUUCAAAUUUGCCGCUCGUGAUCUCGCCAGGGAGGGCCUUCUUCCUAUUUAAACACCCCCUAACCCCUCUCUAAGCCAUAGCCAUUAGUGCUUUCCAAGUUUACAUCUUCACAAACCACC